GUAGGUGGCAAGCGUUGUCCGGAAUUAUUGGGCGUAAAGCGCGCGCAGGCGGUUCUUUAAGUCUGAUGUGAAAGCCCACGGCUCAACCGUGGAGGGUCAUUGGAAACUGGAGAACUUGAGUCCAGAAGAGGAAAGCGGAAUUCCACGUGUAGCGGUGAAAUGCGUAGAGAUGUGGAGGAACACCAGUGGCGAAGGCGGCUUUCUGGUCUGUAACUGACGCUGAGGCGCGAAAGCGUGGGGGAGCAAACAGGAUUAGAUACCCUGGUAGUCCACGCCGUAAACGAUGAGUGCUAAGUGUUAGGGGGUUUCCGCCCCUUAGUGCUGCAGCUAACGCAUUAAGCACCCCCGCCUGGGAGUACGGCCGCAAGGCUG
This 372-nucleotide ribosomal RNA is filed under the name uncultured organism. Its description in RNAcentral is "partial 16S ribosomal RNA". It matches the Rfam family "Bacterial small subunit ribosomal RNA", at positions 527 to 896 of the family's 1533-position model. The record is from RNAcentral.